UGUCAGGAGUUACAGUCCGCCCCAAAUAUUUUUACUCUCUUAUUGUAUAUACAUUGACACUGUAUUGAUUUCGAUAAAUCCUUUAAGAUGUACUUAAAUAAAGAGAAUGGGAAGCGGCCAAGGGAAAAUAGCAAAGGUACCUGAAAGCUACAGAAGUCAAAUAGGAAGGAGAGGGAAGUCUGGAGGAGACAUCCAUUGCCUGCAGCCCAGGGCCAGAGUUUCCUUGCGAUAUGGCGGUCUCACUAUGUUGGCCAGGUUGGUCUUGAACUCCUGGCCUCAAGCAAUCCUCCCACCUCAGCCUCCAAAGUGUUAGGAUUACAGGUGUGAGUCACCACACCUGGCCUGGUUGGUAUUGAUUUUUAAAAAGUGAUUUGUUACUUGUUGUCCAUGAAACUUGGUGUGCUCUAAAUAGGUUGUUUGUUUCACUACAUGACAUUCCAUAUACUUACCAUCAAUUCCAAUUAAUAGGAAUUCCAAUAGAAUGGCUGAAACAAAUUGAGUAGAACAAUUACUAACUCCUUUAGACAUUAUUAUGUUA
RNAcentral lists this long non-coding RNA (538 nucleotides) under Homo sapiens (human). RNAcentral describes it as "HSALNT0280035". Lineage: Eukaryota; Metazoa; Chordata; Mammalia; Primates; Hominidae. The record is from RNAcentral.